Micropterus salmoides (largemouth bass) is the source of this 1231-nucleotide long non-coding RNA. RefSeq lists it as uncharacterized. The transcript has 4 exons. Lineage: Eukaryota; Metazoa; Chordata; Actinopteri; Centrarchiformes; Centrarchidae. The record is from RefSeq and is a predicted model, not a curated record.
UGCCGAUGCUUGUUUGCAUAUGACGUCACGUCACUGCGUUGCCAUGGCGCGAAAUGCAGAUGGAGAGCAGGAAGUGAUUUGCUACAUUUAGGAAGCACCAUAACAAACUGAGAAUGUCUGUUUGCGCCGUUUAUGGUUGGUUAAAUCGAUUAAACCGUGAAACCACGAGGAGUUUUGAUCGUUGUUGUUCAUAAAGGGGAAAAAUGCAAACCUACAAAAAUCUGGAGGAGCUGAAUCUGAAAAUGUGUGCAGUGAUCACUUCUUCAAAGGUGCUGUGCUGAAGUUUGUCAGCAGAUGCUGGAUCAUCAGCCAGUACAGAGUGCAGACCUUUGGAGCAGGUCCCACAGACCCAGGGCUAUAUUACUGAAGGCCUGCAAGAAAAAAAAAUGCCUGGGUGUCUGAGGUUUGUGCACCCCGUUGCCAGAGACAUCCAAUACAUGUCUUACAGAUAAAGGACCUGUAUGAUGUUGUUCUUCAAGGUGAUGCAGGACAAGAGGAUGAACCCUCUUCAGUACCAGUCGAACCCCCAACUGGACCACGAAUGGCCCAACCAGAUCCCCAGGUAGAAGUGGCCUUACUUCAUCCCCCAGCAGCUCCAACUGGACCACCAAUGGUGACCCCAGAUCCCCAGGUAGCAACAUCCCUGCAAGAUCCCCCAACACACUCAGCUGGAGCACUGAAGGCCCUGUCUGGACCCCCAGCAGCCCUUAUUGGACCACCGAAGUCCCCAAACGCAUUGGCAGGAAGGCAUAAUGUGAAAAUGUUAAAAAGAUUCAGACUCUGGGCAUCCCUGCUUUCAAAAGAAAUGGGUAUAAAAAAACUAGAUAUAAUUUAAGCAGUUAUUUGAUUAGUACCUCUCGUCAAAUUCCAUAAACUGCUCCAUUUAGCUGUUAUCAUCACUUAAAUGACGCCUGUGUUUGCCCAUAUUUAGGAUUAGGCCUGUGCGAAAUGACUGCAUUUUAUUGGACGAUACAGAAAUGUCUAUUGUUUUAAAGUUAUGCUCUAUUGUUUAUUUCGUUCUGUCGCAAACGUGGUGCGUUCUGUUCUUCUUCUAUAUGUGCCGGUGUUGAAGGGAAGAAAUGCAGGAAUAAACAAACAUGAAGGAGAGUGAAGUUCACUCAGAACUGGUUAAAUACUGCACAGAAGGACUCAGACCAUGAAAGCAAAAAUGAGGAGCUCGUUCCAAAAAGAGAACUGUGUUUUAUGGACAAACAACACUAUAAUUAUCAUG